CAGAUCAUGAUGGACUUUUCAUAUACAGGGAAGAGAGAAAGUUAAUGAUGAAAAUGAUGGAGUUACUAAUGAAAGCAAAAUAACAGAUGAGGAGCUUGUAGCUUUAAAAGACUCUCAUGUAUUUAAUGCUUACGUUUACAAGUAUUUCAUCUCCUGCUACUCGCAAUGCUUCUUCUUCAGCUGCUGCUCCUGUUAUUAAUACUCCAAGGAACCAGUCAGUUACUGCUUCUCCUAAUGAAACACUCUCAAGGUCUAGGAAGAAGCGUAAGAAGAUUACCAAUUCAACUGGACCUCAUAAACAACCAGCAAGACAGAGUAAG
Molecule: long non-coding RNA, 320 nt
Filed under: Amphimedon queenslandica
Lineage: Eukaryota; Metazoa; Porifera; Demospongiae; Haplosclerida; Niphatidae
Description: uncharacterized LOC109588623, transcript variant X2
Source: RNAcentral